Molecule: non-coding RNA, 149 nt
Organism: Chelonoidis abingdonii (Abingdon island giant tortoise)
Lineage: Eukaryota; Metazoa; Chordata; Testudines; Testudinidae
Source: RefSeq, a predicted model, not a curated record
AAAAUGCCAUGAAACACCAAUGUGAAAUUUCUAAAGAUAGCUAUAGUACUUGGCUCAAGAUUUAGGAAUCUGGAGUGCCUUCCAAAAUCUGAGAGGGAUGAGGUGUGGAGCAGGCUUUCAAAAGUCUUAAAAGAGCAACAGUCUGAUGC